GAUGAACGCUGGCGGCGUGCCUCAAACAUGCAAGUCGAGCGGGGCUAUGUAAUAUCGACAAGGUAGAACAUAGCCUAGCGGCGAACGGGUGAGUAACACGUGGGUAACCUGCCUGGAAGACAGGGAUAACGAUUCGAAAGGGUCGCUAAUACCUGAUAAUAUCCUUUCAUCGCAUGGUGAUAGGAAGAAAGGGGAAACCCGCUUUCAGAUGGGCCCGCGUCCCAUCAGCUAGUUGGUAAGGUAAAGGCUUACCAAGGCGACGACGGGUAGCCGGUCUGAGAGGAUGUACGGCCACACUGGGACUGAGAUACGGCCCAGACUCCUACGGGAGGCAGCAGUUGGGAAUCUUAGGCAAUGGACGAAAGUCUGACCUAGCGACGCCGCGUGAGGGAAGAAGGCCUUCGGGUUGUAAACCUCUGUCAUGGGGGAAGAAGUAAGUGACGGUACCCCAAGAGGAAGCCCCUGCUAACUACGUG
Molecule: ribosomal RNA, 476 nt
Filed under: uncultured bacterium
Lineage: Bacteria
Description: bacterial SSU rRNA
Rfam family: Bacterial small subunit ribosomal RNA
Source: RNAcentral